GAUGAACGCUAGCGGCAGGCUUAAUACAUGCAAGUCGAGGGGCAGCGGGUGUAGCAAUACAUGCCGGCGACCGGCGCACGGGUGCGUAACGCGUAUGUAACCUACCUUUAACUGGAGGAUAGCCCCGAGAAAUCGGGAUUAAUACUCCAUAAAAUUAUGAGAAGGCAUCUUUUAUAUUAAAGCUCCGGCGGUUUUAGAUGGGCAUGCGUGACAUUAGCUAGUUGGUGAGGUAACGGCUCACCAAGGCUCCGAUGUCUAGGGGUUCUGAGAGGAUUAACCCCCACACUGGUACUGAGACACGGACCAGACUCCUACGGGAGGCAGCAGUAAGGAAUAUUGGGCAAUGGACGCAAGUCUGACCCAGCCAUGCCGCGUGAAGGAUGA
Molecule: ribosomal RNA, 384 nt
Filed under: uncultured bacterium
Lineage: Bacteria
Description: bacterial SSU rRNA
Rfam family: Bacterial small subunit ribosomal RNA
Source: RNAcentral